UGAGACAAGAGGUUUUGGGGUGAAUUGAGAGGAGUUUGGGGUGAAAUGAGAGGGUUUUCGGGUGAAGUGAGAGCGGUUUUGGGUGAGAUGAGAGGGGUUUCGGGUGAGAUGAGAAGAUUUGGGGGUGAAAUGAGAGGGGUUUGGGGUGAAAUUAGAGGUUUUGGGGUGAAAUGAGAGGGGCUUGGGGUGAAAUGAGAAUUUGGGGUGAAAUUAAAGACUUUAGAAGAUUGUGGGGCUCACCGGACCCGUCCUGGGGCCCCCUUGGGCUGCCCUGAGGGGGCCCCGAGCCUCUGCCCCCCCCCCGGUCCGUGUGUCUGUCCGUCCUCUGCCCCCUCUGUUUGUCUUGGCCGCCCUCGGGCCCGCCUCGGUCACUGACAAAGUUCAGGGCCUUGGAAGGGAACCGGGGGGG
Molecule: long non-coding RNA, 409 nt
Filed under: Anas platyrhynchos platyrhynchos (common mallard)
Lineage: Eukaryota; Metazoa; Chordata; Aves; Anseriformes; Anatidae
Description: lncRNA (ENSAPLG00000020735.1)
Source: RNAcentral